RNAcentral lists this ribosomal RNA (520 nucleotides) under uncultured bacterium. RNAcentral describes it as "bacterial SSU rRNA". It matches the Rfam family "Bacterial small subunit ribosomal RNA", at positions 8 to 518 of the family's 1533-position model. The record is from RNAcentral.
AGGGUUCGAUUCUGGCUCAGGAUGAACGCUAGCGACAGGCUUAACACAUGCAAGUCGAGGGGCAGCAUGGGGGUAGCAAUACCCCUGAUGGCGACCGGCGCACUGGUGAGUAACACGUAUGCAACCUGCCCCGGGCAGGGGGGAUAAUCCGGAGAAAUCUGGUCUAAUACCCCGUACGCCUCCUUCCCGCAUGGUAGGGAGGUGAAAGGAGCGAUCCGGCACGGGAUGGGCAUGCGGCGCAUUAGCUAGUCGGCGGGGUGACGGCCCACCGAGGCGACGAUGCGUAGGGUUCUGAGAGGAAGGUCCCCCACACUGGUACUGAGACACGGACCAGACUCCUACGGGAGGCAGCAGUGAGGAAUAUUGGUCAAUGGACGGAGGUCUGAACCAGCCAAGUCGCGUGAGGGAUGACGGCCCUACGGGUUGUAAACCUCUUUUGCGGGGGAGUAAAGUGAGCCACGUGUGGCUCAUUGCGAGUACCCCGAGAAAAAGCAUCGGCUAAUUCCGUGCCAGCCGCAGC